GUACAGUCUCUUCCACUAUAGUCUCUUCUUCUAUUUUGCCAUAAAACGCUUCCCAUGGGGGCUAUGAUCGCACACUUCUACCUUCAACCAGGAGCCAUAUGGUCCGGUUUUGUUUGUUGCCCAAGGUCAUUGAACACAGCUUCUAACCUCCAGCCAUGGGGGAUGCCUCCAAUACGCACCCAGAAAGCAUUUCUGGAAAAGUCGUAGCAGUGCUCAGGUAUUUCAGGCUCGCAUUGUUUAAGGACCAAUAAGUUACUGGCAAAAGACGAAGGUGCAGUUUUCAGAACUCUCUUUUCCUCCUCCGAUUGAAAAACAAAAGUGAACAAUCCUGGUUCUUUUUGGGAGCAGACCACAGAUUUUGAUUUCCAGGCUUUCUUCAUGGUAUUAAGAAAAGCUGGGAAGUUAACAUUAGGUCUAGAAAAUAAUUUCCCAAAUAGAGUGCGAUUGCAUUAAUCCCUCUUUUGUGGGGGUAUUUCUAUGGACACUUCUACAACAUCAUUCUCAAACCAUAGAUGACCCAGACUUUUACAUAAUGCGGCCACUCGCAUUUCAUUCUCUUCUUUACCCUCCAUUCUCUCUUGCUACAUGAAUGCUGGUUUUAGGUACUUAGAGUGGGUUAUGUAAGGACUUUGGAGGCAAAGCUAUAUGGGAAAUAGCUUGAAGGGAGCUCUGUGAUAAGUAUAGCUGAAAACAGGGGCACGAGAUUACUUGAGUGGAUAAGAAGAUGUGGACAGUGAAAUAUUGGUCCGCAGCAGUGUCUCUUCUGUCAACAGUGGAAAACGAUUGAAAGAUGCGGUUCAGCUGCGAAGAAAACCAUAAGCCCAGUGAAAAAUCAUGGAAGAGUAACAGAAUCCCACCUGUUGCAAGGCCUGAACUCCAAGAUCACCCUGCUUGGAAUGGGUUCUUCGAAAAGGAGAAGCCAGAACUGUGCCAUUACUCGGAACUGCUCAGAACUGCAGAGAAAACAAUUGGAAGAAAAAUUUCUGGAAUGCUGAUGAUGGGUUUCAUUGAUCUAGCAGGCUAGAAGAAGUAGGAGAGGUUAUUGAGAUCAACAUUUGGAUUUAGGGUUUUUGGGGAAAAAGCUACCAGAGUGGUAGAGGGGAGCUCGCAGAGACGAGAGUCGUGCUAGUGAUGAAUACGGAUC
This is a long non-coding RNA of Eucalyptus grandis, 1144 nucleotides long. RefSeq lists it as uncharacterized. The record is from RefSeq and is a predicted model, not a curated record. The transcript has 3 exons. Lineage: Eukaryota; Viridiplantae; Streptophyta; Magnoliopsida; Myrtales; Myrtaceae.